Molecule: ribosomal RNA, 2900 nt
Filed under: Escherichia coli DEC9A
Lineage: Bacteria; Pseudomonadati; Pseudomonadota; Gammaproteobacteria; Enterobacterales; Enterobacteriaceae
Description: 23S ribosomal RNA
Source: RNAcentral
AAGGUUAAGCCUCACGGUUCAUUAGUACCGGUUAGCUCAACGCAUCGCUGCGCUUACACACCCGGCCUAUCAACGUCGUCGUCUUCAACGUUCCUUCAGGACUCUCAAGGAGUCAGGGAGAACUCAUCUCGGGGCAAGUUUCGUGCUUAGAUGCUUUCAGCACUUAUCUCUUCCGCAUUUAGCUACCGGGCAGUGCCAUUGGCAUGACAACCCGAACACCAGUGAUGCGUCCACUCCGGUCCUCUCGUACUAGGAGCAGCCCCCCUCAGUUCUCCAGCGCCCACGGCAGAUAGGGACCGAACUGUCUCACGACGUUCUAAACCCAGCUCGCGUACCACUUUAAAUGGCGAACAGCCAUACCCUUGGGACCUACUUCAGCCCCAGGAUGUGAUGAGCCGACAUCGAGGUGCCAAACACCGCCGUCGAUAUGAACUCUUGGGCGGUAUCAGCCUGUUAUCCCCGGAGUACCUUUUAUCCGUUGAGCGAUGGCCCUUCCAUUCAGAACCACCGGAUCACUAUGACCUGCUUUCGCACCUGCUCGCGCCGUCACGCUCGCAGUCAAGCUGGCUUAUGCCAUUGCACUAACCUCCUGAUGUCCGACCAGGAUUAGCCAACCUUCGUGCUCCUCCGUUACUCUUUAGGAGGAGACCGCCCCAGUCAAACUACCCACCAGACACUGUCCGCAACCCGGAUUACGGGUCAACGUUAGAACAUCAAACAUUAAAGGGUGGUAUUUCAAGGUCGGCUCCAUGCAGACUGGCGUCCACACUUCAAAGCCUCCCACCUAUCCUACACAUCAAGGCUCAAUGUUCAGUGUCAAGCUAUAGUAAAGGUUCACGGGGUCUUUCCGUCUUGCCGCGGGUACACUGCAUCUUCACAGCGAGUUCAAUUUCACUGAGUCUCGGGUGGAGACAGCCUGGCCAUCAUUACGCCAUUCGUGCAGGUCGGAACUUACCCGACAAGGAAUUUCGCUACCUUAGGACCGUUAUAGUUACGGCCGCCGUUUACCGGGGCUUCGAUCAAGAGCUUCGCUUGCGCUAACCCCAUCAAUUAACCUUCCGGCACCGGGCAGGCGUCACACCGUAUACGUCCACUUUCGUGUUUGCACAGUGCUGUGUUUUUAAUAAACAGUUGCAGCCAGCUGGUAUCUUCGACUGAUUUCAGCUCCAUCCGCGAGGGACUUCACCUACAUAUCAGCGUGCCUUCUCCCGAAGUUACGGCACCAUUUUGCCUAGUUCCUUCACCCGAGUUCUCUCAAGCGCCUUGGUAUUCUCUACCUGACCACCUGUGUCGGUUUGGGUACGAUUUGAUGUUACCUGAUGCUUAGAGGCUUUUCCUGGAAGCAGGGCAUUUGUUGCUUCAGCACCGUAGUGCCUCGUCAUCACGCCUCAGCCUUGAUUUUCCGGAUUUGCCUGGAAAACCAGCCUACACGCUUAAACCGGGACAACCGUCGCCCGGCCAACAUAGCCUUCUCCGUCCCCCCUUCGCAGUAACACCAAGUACAGGAAUAUUAACCUGUUUCCCAUCGACUACGCCUUUCGGCCUCGCCUUAGGGGUCGACUCACCCUGCCCCGAUUAACGUUGGACAGGAACCCUUGGUCUUCCGGCGAGCGGGCUUUUCACCCGCUUUAUCGUUACUUAUGUCAGCAUUCGCACUUCUGAUACCUCCAGCAUGCCUCACAGCACACCUUCGCAGGCUUACAGAACGCUCCCCUACCCAACAACGCAUAAGCGUCGCUGCCGCAGCUUCGGUGCAUGGUUUAGCCCCGUUACAUCUUCCGCGCAGGCCGACUCGACCAGUGAGCUAUUACGCUUUCUUUAAAUGAUGGCUGCUUCUAAGCCAACAUCCUGGCUGUCUGGGCCUUCCCACAUCGUUUCCCACUUAACCAUGACUUUGGGACCUUAGCUGGCGGUCUGGGUUGUUUCCCUCUUCACGACGGACGUUAGCACCCGCCGUGUGUCUCCCGUGAUAACAUUCUCCGGUAUUCGCAGUUUGCAUCGGGUUGGUAAGUCGGGAUGACCCCCUUGCCGAAACAGUGCUCUACCCCCGGAGAUGAAUUCACGAGGCGCUACCUAAAUAGCUUUCGGGGAGAACCAGCUAUCUCCCGGUUUGAUUGGCCUUUCACCCCCAGCCACAAGUCAUCCGCUAAUUUUUCAACAUUAGUCGGUUCGGUCCUCCAGUUAGUGUUACCCAACCUUCAACCUGCCCAUGGCUAGAUCACCGGGUUUCGGGUCUAUACCCUGCAACUUAACGCCCAGUUAAGACUCGGUUUCCCUUCGGCUCCCCUAUUCGGUUAACCUUGCUACAGAAUAUAAGUCGCUGACCCAUUAUACAAAAGGUACGCAGUCACACGCCUAAGCGAGCUCCCACUGCUUGUACGUACACGGUUUCAGGUUCUUUUUCACUCCCCUCGCCGGGGUUCUUUUCGCCUUUCCCUCACGGUACUGGUUCACUAUCGGUCAGUCAGGAGUAUUUAGCCUUGGAGGAUGGUCCCCCCAUAUUCAGACAGGAUACCACGUGUCCCGCCCUACUCAUCGAGCUCACAGCAUGUGCAUUUUUGUGUACGGGGCUGUCACCCUGUAUCGCGCGCCUUUCCAGACGCUUCCACUAACACACAUACUGAUUCAGGCUCUGGGCUGCUCCCGUUCGCUCGCCGCUACUGGGGGAAUCUCGGUUGAUUUCUUUUCCUCGGGGUACUUAGAUGUUUCAGUUCCCCCGGUUCGCCUCAUUAACCUAUGGAUUCAGUUAAUGAUAGUGUGUCGAAACACACUGGGUUUCCCCAUUCGGAAAUCGCCGGUUAUAACGGUUCAUAUCACCUUACCGACGCUUAUCGCAGAUUAGCACGUCCUUCAUCGCCUCUGACUGCCAGGGCAUCCACCGUGUACGCUUAGUCGCUUAA